RNAcentral lists this ribosomal RNA (561 nucleotides) under Triticum aestivum (bread wheat). RNAcentral describes it as "partial small subunit ribosomal RNA". Lineage: Eukaryota; Viridiplantae; Streptophyta; Magnoliopsida; Poales; Poaceae. The record is from RNAcentral.
AUGGCUAGCGUGUUUCAUCGUUCUCUCCUUGAUCUCCAUCAACGUGGUUCGGAUCCUCGUCGAGAGUGCGCACGAGCCCACCAAUGGGUCGCCAAGGAGGAGGAGGCCAAGUACAAGGCCGCCAAAGACGCCUACGAGCUGGCCAGACGCAAGCUCGCGAACUUCAACGGGCCCCUCUCCCACCUCAACCGCCAGGCGCGCGAUCCGGCGGCUGAGCAGCCGCACCUUCGUGCGGCGGCUCUGAAUGCCGCGCAGGAGGAGCACGACAGGCUCUUCACCGACGAGAAGCUCGCAAAAAGGGAGAUGGAAAGGUUAGUGCAGAAACAAGGCAUGGAGCGGAUUGAGGGAUGGCCGUUGGUUGUGAUCCGUGGUUUGUUCUUCUUUUCAGUUCUUUGCUCCCAGAUUUCUUGCGGGUUUGCAACAGCAGGUUUCUAUUACUCCAAGCAGAUAGAGUCGCGCUGUGCUCUCGGUCCGCUUGAUAUCUUUGCUUUCGUGUUGAUUGGAGUCGUUUCACUGCCGUACCAUUUGUUCCUUUUCUGGGUUUCUCUGCGCGGGAACUAA